This 2925-nucleotide ribosomal RNA is filed under the name Escherichia coli. Its description in RNAcentral is "23S ribosomal RNA". It matches the Rfam family "Bacterial large subunit ribosomal RNA". Lineage: Bacteria; Pseudomonadati; Pseudomonadota; Gammaproteobacteria; Enterobacterales; Enterobacteriaceae. The record is from RNAcentral.
GGGUUGUGAGGUUAAGCGACUAAGCGUACACGGUGGAUGCCCUGGCAGUCAGAGGCGAUGAAGGACGUGCUAAUCUGCGAUAAGCGUCGGUAAGGUGAUAUGAACCGUUAUAACCGGCGAUUUCCGAAUGGGGAAACCCAGUGUGAUUCGUCACACUAUCAUUAACUGAAUCCAUAGGUUAAUGAGGCGAACCGGGGGAACUGAAACAUCUAAGUACCCCGAGGAAAAGAAAUCAACCGAGAUUCCCCCAGUAGCGGCGAGCGAACGGGGAGCAGCCCAGAGCCUGAAUCAGUGUGUGUGUUAGUGGAAGCGUCUGGAAAGGCGCGCGAUACAGGGUGACAGCCCCGUACACAAAAAUGCACAUGCUGUGAGCUCGAUGAGUAGGGCGGGACACGUGGUAUCCUGUCUGAAUAUGGGGGGACCAUCCUCCAAGGCUAAAUACUCCUGACUGACCGAUAGUGAACCAGUACCGUGAGGGAAAGGCGAAAAGAACCCCGGCGAGGGGAGUGAAAAAGAACCUGAAACCGUGUACGUACAAGCAGUGGGAGCACGCUUAGGCGUGUGACUGCGUACCUUUUGUAUAAUGGGUCAGCGACUUAUAUUCUGUAGCAAGGUUAACCGAAUAGGGGAGCCGAAGGGAAACCGAGUCUUAACUGGGCGUUAAGUUGCAGGGUAUAGACCCGAAACCCGGUGAUCUAGCCAUGGGCAGGUUGAAGGUUGGGUAACACUAACUGGAGGACCGAACCGACUAAUGUUGAAAAAUUAGCGGAUGACUUGUGGCUGGGGGUGAAAGGCCAAUCAAACCGGGAGAUAGCUGGUUCUCCCCGAAAGCUAUUUAGGUAGCGCCUCGUGAAUUCAUCUCCGGGGGUAGAGCACUGUUUCGGCAAGGGGGUCAUCCCGACUUACCAACCCGAUGCAAACUACGAAUACCGGAGAAUGUUAUCACGGGAGACACACGGCGGGUGCUAACGUCCGUCGUGAAGAGGGAAACAACCCAGACCGCCAGCUAAGGUCCCAAAGUCAUGGUUAAGUGGGAAACGAUGUGGGAAGGCCCAGACAGCCAGGAUGUUGGCUUAGAAGCAGCCAUCAUUUAAAGAAAGCGUAAUAGCUCACUGGUCGAGUCGGCCUGCGCGGAAGAUGUAACGGGGCUAAACCAUGCACCGAAGCUGCGGCAGCGACGCUGAUGCGUUGUUGGGUAGGGGAGCGUUCUGUAAGCCUGCGAAGGUGUGCUGUGAGGCAUGCUGGAGGUAUCAGAAGUGCGAAUGCUGACAUAAGUAACGAUAAAGCGGGUGAAAAGCCCGCUCGCCGGAAGACCAAGGGUUCCUGUCCAACGUUAAUCGGGGCAGGGUGAGUCGACCCCUAAGGCGAGGCCGAAAGGCGUAGUCGAUGGGAAACAGGUUAAUAUUCCUGUACUUGGUGUUACUGCGAAGGGGGGACGGAGAAGGCUAUGUUGGCCGGGCGACGGUUGUCCCGGUUUAAGCGUGUAGGCUGGUUUUCCAGGCAAAUCCGGAAAAUCAAGGCUGAGGCGUGAUGACGAGGCACUACGGUGCUGAAGCAACAAAUGCCCUGCUUCCAGGAAAAGCCUCUAAGCAUCAGGUAACAUCAAAUCGUACCCCAAACCGACACAGGUGGUCAGGUAGAGAAUACCAAGGCGCUUGAGAGAACUCGGGUGAAGGAACUAGGCAAAAUGGUGCCGUAACUUCGGGAGAAGGCACGCUGAUAUGUAGGUGAAGUCCCUCGCGGAUGGAGCUGAAAUCAGUCGAAGAUACCAGCUGGCUGCAACUGUUUAUUAAAAACACAGCACUGUGCAAACACGAAAGUGGACGUAUACGGUGUGACGCCUGCCCGGUGCCGGAAGGUUAAUUGAUGGGGUUAGCGCAAGCGAAGCUCUUGAUCGAAGCCCCGGUAAACGGCGGCCGUAACUAUAACGGUCCUAAGGUAGCGAAAUUCCUUGUCGGGUAAGUUCCGACCUGCACGAAUGGCGUAAUGAUGGCCAGGCUGUCUCCACCCGAGACUCAGUGAAAUUGAACUCGCUGUGAAGAUGCAGUGUACCCGCGGCAAGACGGAAAGACCCCGUGAACCUUUACUAUAGCUUGACACUGAACAUUGAGCCUUGAUGUGUAGGAUAGGUGGGAGGCUUUGAAGUGUGGACGCCAGUCUGCAUGGAGCCGACCUUGAAAUACCACCCUUUAAUGUUUGAUGUUCUAACGUUGACCCGUAAUCCGGGUUGCGGACAGUGUCUGGUGGGUAGUUUGACUGGGGCGGUCUCCUCCUAAAGAGUAACGGAGGAGCACGAAGGUUGGCUAAUCCUGGUCGGACAUCAGGAGGUUAGUGCAAUGGCAUAAGCCAGCUUGACUGCGAGCGUGACGGCGCGAGCAGGUGCGAAAGCAGGUCAUAGUGAUCCGGUGGUUCUGAAUGGAAGGGCCAUCGCUCAACGGAUAAAAGGUACUCCGGGGAUAACAGGCUGAUACCGCCCAAGAGUUCAUAUCGACGGCGGUGUUUGGCACCUCGAUGUCGGCUCAUCACAUCCUGGGGCUGAAGUAGGUCCCAAGGGUAUGGCUGUUCGCCAUUUAAAGUGGUACGCGAGCUGGGUUUAGAACGUCGUGAGACAGUUCGGUCCCUAUCUGCCGUGGGCGCUGGAGAAUUGAGGGGGGCUGCUCCUAGUACGAGAGGACCGGAGUGGACGCAUCACUGGUGUUCGGGUUGUCAUGCCAAUGGCACUGCCCGGUAGCUAAAUGCGGAAGAGAUAAGUGCUGAAAGCAUCUAAGCACGAAACUUGCCCCGAGAUGAGUUCUCCCUGACUCCUUGAGAGUCCUGAAGGAACGUUGAAGACGACGACGUUGAUAGGCCGGGUGUGUAAGCGCAGCGAUGCGUUGAGCUAACCGGUACUAAUGAACCGUGAGGCUUAACCUUACAACGCCGAAG